AAACCAACAGGGAUUGCCCUAGUAACGGCGAGUGAAGCGGCAACAGCUCAAAUUUGAAAUCUGGCCCUUGGGUCCGAAUUGUAAUUUGUAGAGGAUGAUUUUGGUGCGGUACCUUCCGAGUUCCUUGGAACAGGACGCCUUAGAGGGUGAGAGCCCCGUACGGUUGGAUACCUAGCCUCUGUAAAUCUCCUUCGACGAGUCGAGUAGUUUGGGAAUGCUGCUCUAAAUGGGAGGUAAAUUUCUUCUAAAGCUAAAUACUGGCCAGAGACCGAUAGCGCACAAGUAGAGUGAUCGAAAGAUGAAAAGCACUUUGAAAAGAGGGUUAAAUAGCACGUGAAAUUGUUGAAAGGGAAGGAUUUAUGACCAGACUUUUUCUGGGCAGAUCAUCCGGUGUUCUCACCGGUGCACUUUGCCCAGUUUAGGCCAGCAUCGAUUUCCGGAGGGGGAUAAAAGCUUUAGGAAUGUGGCUCCCUCGGGAGUGUUAUAGCCUAUUGUAUAAUACCUUUCUGGGGAUCGAGGUACGCGCUUCUGCAAGGAUGCUGGCGUAAUGGUUAUCAAUCACCCGUCUUGAAACACGGACCAAGGAGUCGAACAUUUGUGCGAGUGUUUGGGUGUUAAACCCUCACGCGUAAUGAAAGUGAACGGAGGUAAGAGCCCUUACGGGUGCAUUAUCGACCGAUCCUGAAGUUUUCGGAUGGAUUUGAGUAGGAGCAUAAAUGUUCGGACCCGAAAGAUGGUGAACUAUGCGUGGAUAGGGUGAAGCCAGAGGAAACUCUGGUGGAGGCUCGCAGCGGUUCUGACGUGCAAAUCGAUCGUCAAAUCUGCGCAUGGGGG
This 834-nucleotide ribosomal RNA is filed under the name Monochaetia ilexae. Its description in RNAcentral is "partial 28S ribosomal RNA". It matches the Rfam family "Eukaryotic large subunit ribosomal RNA", at positions 62 to 923 of the family's 3401-position model. Lineage: Eukaryota; Fungi; Ascomycota; Sordariomycetes; Amphisphaeriales; Sporocadaceae. The record is from RNAcentral.